CGGGGAGGACGGCCGGGCCAGGUGAAGUUCGCGCACUUGGGCCUUCCGCGCCCCCAUCCACCGCAGCCAGGGCCUGGAAGGCUGGGGAGGGGGCGGGGGCGGCAGACGCCUCCUAAGGUACAACUUGAGCUCUCAUCUACAUAACUGAAGGCUGCACCCAGGGCUGUAAAGAGUGAAAAUGCAUUGCCGAAGCAUGAGCACCUCCUGCAGUUCUCAGUAGACAUUUGGGAAGCGAGUGAACCGCCCUGUAUGGAGUGUUUGGAGGAGGUCGGAGGGUGUCGGGCCUGAGCCAGGGGCUGCCCUGGGCCUGUGUCGGGUGGCGCAUGCCAGAGGAAUGAGAUGGGAAGGGCAUGCACGCGGGGUCUUGGCAGCCCUGGAGCUGGCCUAGAUGCAGCAGCUUUCUGAUAAAGCGAAAUUGUUCCAUCGGCUUGCCAUGCUUUGCUUAGCCAUCCGCACUUCACUGUUGGGCGAAAGAAGAUUUUAAAGAACACCCUUAGCAGAUGUCAGAGUUUGGGAUUUGGGGUCCAUGAUACCCAAAUAAGAUUCCACUUGAAGAAAGUAACACGAAUUGCUUUCAACACAUCAAUCAACAA
RNAcentral lists this long non-coding RNA (593 nucleotides) under Homo sapiens (human). Its description in RNAcentral is "HSALNT0406656". The record is from RNAcentral. Lineage: Eukaryota; Metazoa; Chordata; Mammalia; Primates; Hominidae.